Molecule: long non-coding RNA, 7416 nt
Filed under: Zostera marina
Lineage: Eukaryota; Viridiplantae; Streptophyta; Magnoliopsida; Alismatales; Zosteraceae
Description: long non-coding RNA (ZMAR_LNC001656)
Source: RNAcentral
AACUACUCACCUAGUAUCGGCCAAGAGAAUACUAAUGUAUAUAAAAUGAAUUUUAGAUCAUGGUCUUCAUUUUACCAAUACCAAAAGAACUGCCAUAAAUUGAUAGGUUUUUGUGAUGCUGAUUUUGCUGGUGAUUAGCAAUACUGAGAUCGUUUGGAGAGCAAGGAGAUGACGAUGUAGGAGAGUCGAUGACUGAGUGUAGAGCAGAUCGGAGUGAAGCUGAUGAUGACUUUGAUCCACAGAUGAUGAUUAAUCCCAAAGGGAGUAUGAUUUUGAAACUUAGUAUCACAAACUGUAAAACAAUGUUAGGUUUGAGUUUGAUAUAUAUAGAUGGUUUAAAUGUUUGAUUCCAGCUUACAACGGUCAUAAGCUCAAGGUUCAACUGGCGCUUGUUGUCACUGUUGCUGAAGGCAAAGGUGACAUCAAGUGAUGGUUGGACCUUCCUAGGAUUUUUACCAUAUUAAAGGUUUAGGUAUUAAAUUGAUCAUGUAAGGGUUUAGAUUAUAAAUUGGUUAAUGAGGGUUCAUAUUGUAAAUGUUGUAAAUGGAUUUAUGUAAUAAUUUUAUACGCCCCCUCAAAAGCGAGUUGGGCUGAAAAGAAACGAACUUUUGGACUGGUCCAUGUUCCAUUCUUUAAAUAUAAAAAGGGUUUUGUAAAUUUGAUUUUGGUUGUAAACACGAAUCGUCUUGUAUGGUUUCAGCAGGAAAUGAGGGUUUCACUGGAGGCAAGGGUUUGCUGGAGGCAAUCGUUCGGGUAUGUUUCUAGUUUUCUUCUUUUGUGCAUGUCGCUCUAUUCCUCUUGUGUAUGUUGUCUUUGGUUGGGUAUCCUUAUUCAUUUGUAUUCUUAAUGGGUUUUGUAGUGGGUGUUCUGUCUGUUAAUGUGUUUGCAUGUCAGUGUUUUCUUUCUUGGUGUUUGUUUUCCUUCAUCCUUUGUGUUUGUUUUCCUCUAUCAGUCUGUUCCGUGUAAGUUUUCCAUUUUCAGUUUCUUUUUGAGAUGAUUGAAUAGAUAUCCUGUAACAUCUUUUGUGAAGAUGUCUGCCACGUUUUCUUUGGUGUUUACCCUUUCUAUUUCAAUCUCUUUUUGCAAAGCUUUGUCUUUGAUCGUGUGUGUAUCGAUUUCUAUGUGUUUUGUUCUUUGAUGUAAGACUGGGUUUGUUGCGAUUGCAGUUGCAGAUGAACUAUUUGUAUAGAGUUUUGGAGUUACUAUAUUUACUUGCAUUUCCUUUAAUAGUUGUUUUAGCCAUGUGAUUUCACAAGUUGUGUGUGCUAAGGGUCGGUACUCUUCCUCUGCUGACGAUCUUGCCACUGUAUGUUGUUUUUUGGUUUGCCAUGAAACUAGGUUAUCAUUCAAGAAGAUGGCAAAUCCUGAUGUGGAUCGUCUGGUUGUGGGGCAAGAGGCCCAGUCAGAGUCUGAAAAUACUUUAAUCCUUGAGGUUCUUGUGCCUGAUGAGAAGAAAAGUCCACUUCCUGGUGAGUUUUUAAUGUAUCUUAAUAUUUUGUUCACCUUAGUAGAGUCUUCAUUUGUUGGUUCUGACAUGUGUUGGCUUAGUUGGUUUACUACAUAUGUUAUAUCGGGUUUGGUUACAGUUAGGUAGACAAGUUUUCCAACUAUGCAUCUGUACUCAGUAGGAUCAUCAAGUAAUUUAAUUUCCUUGUUCUGUUUGUUUGACGAUCUUGAUGGUGUAUAGAGUGGGUAUUCUCCUGGUUUAGCAUGUAGAUAGUUGUUUUGUUCAAGGAUUUCUAAUGCAUAUUUUCUUUGGCUAAUAAAAAUCCCAUGUUGUGUUGUUGUGAAUUCUAAUCCUAAGAAUUUUUUUAAUUUUCCUAGAUCUUUGAUGUUAAAAAAACUGGUUAAAUCGGUCUUAAGUUUGAUUAUUUCUUUUAAGUUAUUUCCUGUGAUUAAUAGAUCAUCUACAUAUGGUAGGAUGAAAAUUUUAUUUUUCCCAUUGAUCUUACCGAAGAGAGCAUAAUCCUCUCUUGUCGUUUAAAACCUAAUUUGUUUGGUACUUGUUGUAGUUUGUUAAACCACAUUCUAGAUGCUUGUUUUAAGCCAUAUAGAGAUUUUGUUAAUUUGCAUGCUAGUUUGUGGUUGUCUGUUGGUUCUUUGUUGAUCCUUAGACCUUGGAGAAUGUCCAUAUGUAGACUUUUUCAUUUAAGUCUCCAUGUAAGAAGGUAGUGAGACAUGCCUGAUUACGACAGUCACUCCCAGCAACGCCUUUAAAUAAGGACUAGGGUUCCGUCACUUUACCCCCGGAAGGUUCCCACGGUGCGGAACAAGUUCAUCGUCAAAUCGCGAGUUAACCCGUAAAUCGCGAUUGGACUACCAAAUCGCCGAUUUUAUGGACAAAUCGUUGAGUUAGGGCCCAGAUCGGCAGUAUGGUAGACUGCAUAUCUCGCCCCUUGAAACUCGACGAGUUUACCCUAAUAGGCGAUUUUCAUACCUGAAUCGUCGAUUUACGACCGUUACUCGCCGUCAGCCAACGCCAUAAAUGCACCCAUAUAUGGCAAUAGGCUCGAAGUCCGCCUUUGAUCGCGCCCUCCGAGACCAUAUAAAAAGGGUCCCAAGGGGACACUCAAAGGCACAACACAAGUUCCACUCUCACCAGAGCACCACUAAGAGAAUCGCCGAUUCCCACACCAGAAUCGCCGAUUCUCUCCUUUCAGGUAUUUGACGUAGAGCGUGUGUCGUGGACUUCAGAGCCUCCGCGAGCCCUGGUAGCAGAUUCUGUGCUUCAUAGCAAAUUCAGUGCUUCAUCAGAAGGCAUUUUGAACAUCCAUCUGAUGGAGGUGCCAUCCUUCAGGUGCAGUCUAUCCCCUAUGUUUAGUUAUAGCCCUUGGCAACCAAUCUAGCUUUGAAUUUGUCUAGGCUUCCAUCAGCCUUAAGUUUUGUCUUAAAAACCCAUUUGCAAUCUAUGGUUUUUGUCUCUCUUGGUACUUCAGUGAUUCUCCAAGUGUUGUUUUGUUUUAGUGCAUUUAUUUCAUUGCUUCUUGCCAGUGUGAUACUUGGCUUGCUUUUUGUAAUUUUUAGGUUCUUUGUGUUCUGAAAUUUUAAUUAGAAUUGCUCUGUGUUUUUCCGAAAAUUUGUUGUAGUUGAUGUGGUUUCUUAUUGGAUAUUUUGUUGUGUUGUAACAAACGUAGUCAUCCAAUUUUGUGGGUCUCUUUCUCUCUCUUGUGGGUCUUUCUAGGCUUUUCUCUCCUAUUGUUUCAUCUUCUACAUGGUUGUUUGAGUUUUCAGAGUUUUGGUUUUCAUGAUUUUGUUGAAUUGCUUGGUCUUGGAUUUAUUGUGUGUUCUCAUUGUUGAACUUGAUUUCAGUAUCUAUAAGGAGGAUCCCAUUUUCCUUUUCUUCUAUGUUUUUGAAAGGGAAGAUAUUUUCAUGGAAUAUUACAUCUCGGUUGAUAAUUAUUUCAUUGUUUUUAAUAUCGAGAAUCUUGUAUCCUUUUGUUAAUGUAGAAUACCCUAGAAAUACCCCUUUUAUGGCUCUGGCCUCAAAUUUAUUUGUGGGUUUAUUGAUUUUUGAGUAGCAAAGACAUCCAAAAUUUUUGAGACUUUCAUAUGAUGGUUCUUUUUGGAAGAGUCUGAAAUAAGGGGUUUCAUUAUUGAUGGUUGGUGAGAACAUUCUAUUUAUGAGAUAGCAAGCAGUUUGGAUGCAUUCUCCCUAGUAAGUUGUUGGAACUUCAGAUUGGAAUAUUAAGCAUCUAGUUAUGUCUAGGAUGUGUCUUUGUUUUCUUUCUACUAUUGAGUUUUGUUGUGGGGUGUAGGGGCAAGAGAGUUGGUGUUUUAUUCCUAAGCCCUUUAGAAAGGUUUGGAGGUUUACGUUAAGGAAUUCAGUACCAUUAUCGGUUCUGAUUGUUUUCACAGAAGUGUCAAAUUGGUUGAUUGCUUUUGUGAUGAAAUGUUUUAGUUUUCCUGGUGUUUUCCCUUUAUUGUGUAAUAGUAUUAUCCAGGUGGCUUUACUAAAAUCAUCUACUAUGGUGAUGAAGUAGUGGUGACCAUUAUAUGUUGGUGUUUUGCAUUUCCCCCACAAGUCAAUAUGUAGUAAUUCAAAAAAUUUCGUAGUUUUGGAAGUACUUGUAGAAAAUGAUAAUCUAAUAAAUUUUGCAGUUGGACAUUCAUUACAUAAAAUAUUUUUAAACAUAGGAAUAGAUGGAUUGUUUUUCCUAAUUAGAUUGUAUCUCAAAAUUAAAGAAUGUCCUAGCCUUCUAUGCCACAGCUCUGCAUUUUUUUGAGCUGAUUUUACCCAUACUUGUUCUUCUUUCGUUUCUUCAGAUGAUAUGAUGUAGAGUCCUUCUUUUCUUUUACCCAUAGAAAUCGAAUUCAUCUUCGAAUUCUGUAUUAGACAGUGGUUAUUAUAGAAAACGAAAAAGCAGUUAAUUGAAUUUGUCAGCUUUGUGACAGAGAUCAAAUUAACAUUGAAAUUUGAAAUUUUUAACAUUGGAUCUAGUGUUAAUUUUUCAUUCAGGGUGAAUGUUCCAUCCUCGUGCAUAAUUGCAAUGUGAGAGUUUGGCAUAUGGACCUUAAUAGGAUGGUUAAGUAUCCUUAUGUUGGAUAGCUGGAUUCCCGGACCGAACAUGUGGUCUGUGGCUCCACUAUCUAUCACCCAUUCAUUUUGUCUAUUCACUGUUGAAAUGAAGCAGUAAGAUUGUGUACCUGAUUUUUCUAUGUCAUGGGUUGUAGAUCUUCCCACGUUUGCAGAGUGUUUAGGUUUGUUUUGUCUUUGCAGCAUGGAUAUGAGUUGCUCAAUGGUGUAGCUUGGUUGUCCUUCUGAAUAAUUGACUCUAUUUCUUGUGGGGUUUCAUGGUGAUCUUCUUGGUUGUAGUUAUCUUGGUAAUUGUAGUCUUCCCAGUUUUGUUGUUCUUGUGGCUCUUCUAAAUCCUCAGUGUAUGUGUUGUUUGCCCUGUAGUUUGCCUAUUGUAAUUCCUGCCAUACUGGUUUUUGUUUUCCCUUCUUGUGUAGCUAUUUGUUGGAUUGUAGGGUCUGUUAGGUCUCCUGAAAUUUUGUGAGUUAUUUCCAUUGUUGUAUCUUUGCCUUUCAGGGUAUCCAUGUACUUGGUAGCAAUUGUCAGCAGUGUGCCCUGAUCUUUUGCAAUGUGUACAGAAGGGCCUUUCUCUUAUCUCUGGUUUUGGUGGUUUGUAAGGGUCAUUUGCCAGUAGGGUUGUUGUUACCUCAGUUGUGGGUACUGUGUGAUUUCUUUGCUGUUAUUCUUGUUUGAUUAUAGGAUAUAAUUCACCAUGUUUUGGGAUUGGUUUCUGAGCCAUUAGGACACCUCUAAUUGUUGUGUAGGUUUCAUUCAGUCCCAUUAAGAAUUUUACUGAUCUUGCAAAUUAAUCAGGGGGGUUAAUGUCCUCUUUGUUGGUGUCAUAUGUGCUCUAGAUGAGUUUAGUCAGUUUGGUGUAGUAUGUGCAUACUGAGUCUUGUCCUUGGUAGAGUGUGUAUGUUUGUACUAAGACAUCAUAGAGCAUUGCAUCAUUUGAUUGGUUGUAUCUGAUUGCCAAUUCAUCCCAUAAUAUCCAUGGUUUGCUAGCUGUGAGAAAAGAUGGUUGUAGCUCUGGUGUGAUGGAGCUUAGUAAUCAAGAAUGUAUCAUAGCGGUGCAGGCCUUCCAUUUUCUAUGUUCCUUUGAAUAUGUUUCUUAAUUGGUCUGGUUCUGGUAUGACUCCAAGUAGGAACCCUAAUUUUGAUCUACCUUCUACUGCCAUUUCAAAAUGCUUUUUCCAUACUGGAUAGUUAUUACCAUCCAGUUUAAUAGUUACCAUAAAAUAUGAAGAGAAUUCUGAACUGUAGGUGUCAUCCUCUUUUGUUUUUGUGAUUUGUAUGUUUUGAUCAUCAUAUUCAGACAUUUUCUGCAGAUUCAUAAUUAGCUAAUUACGUGGAGUUUGUAGAAGGCGAAAAUUCUAAGUAGCAAAUGUGAAUGUGGAAGUUAAUACUAAGGAGUGUGUUGACCACUUGAUGGUCGAGGAAGAUGUUGAUCCUCCUCCUGAUUCUACUGAAGAUGAGGCUACAAUGAUUCGUAGGGCUACUAGAAAGAGGAACAGGGAGGAAGGAGAAGUGUUCCACGAUCCUUUCACAGUGUGGAUGGAUGACCUUUGGAGGAAAGGUAUUUACCCUGACCUUAAUAAUGCACCUAGGUAUCGUGAUUAUAAAUGGGAAAAUGAUGAUGAGCUUCCACCUUGGGAUGGUCGUUUUGAUGAAAUGUUUAAUUCAGAUACAGAAGUUAAUGGAGGUAUCUAUGGAUUUAGUGAAGAUUCUGAGGUUGAUCCUCUCUAUGAUCGUGAGAUGUUGGGAGUGAGUAUGGACAUUGUAAUUGUUAUAAGUGAUGAUGAUGAUGAUGCUGAGGAUAGUGAUGCUUGGUAAUCCUGAUUAUAUGGAGUUGAUCUUCGACACUUGAAAGAACUGAAGAAAGAGAAUAAGAGUAAUGUAGAGCCAGACUAUGAGAAGUGGCUCAAGAUGAUACUUAAGAAGAAAUCGAAGUGAGGAUUUUCCUCCUCUUUUUGAAGUAAAGAAAAAAAACUUUAUAUAUUUUGUAUUUUCUUUGAGAAAAAAUACUUUCCCUUUUUUUUAUUAACCUAUUACUUGGGUUUGUUUUACUGUGGGGAUCUCAACCGCUCUGAUACCAUGUUAAGUUUUAAUGUGUAUGAAAUAUAAUCCAAGUAUGGUUUAAUGAUUAAUCCAGAGUAAAGCAAAAUAGUGUUGAUGCAACGGAUAAUAUUGAUUGUUUAAUUUAUCUAAUGAGUAUGAUCAAGAUGUGUUGCAGGUAGAUAAUGUUUGACAGGGAUGAUAUAUAUAUGAUUUGUCCAAGUAGAAGCGGAGAUAUGUGUAUGCAAUAGAUAUCAGGUAUGAUAUAUAUAUAUGAAAUGUAAGCAGAUGAUUUAGCAAUACUGAGAUCGUUUGGAGAGCGAGGAGAUGACGAUGUAGGAGAGUCGAUGACUGAGUGUAGAGCAUAUUGGAGUGAAGCUGAUGAUUACUUUAUCCACAGAUGAUGAUUCCCAAAGGGAGUAUGAUAUUGAAACUUAGUAUCACAAACUGUAAAACAAUGUUAGGUUUGAGUUUGAUAUAUAUAUAGAUGUUUUAAAUGUUUGAUUCCAGCUUACAACGGUCAAAAGCUCAAGGUUCAACUGGCGCUUGUUGUCCUGUUGCUGAAGGCAAAGGUGACAUCAAGUGAUGGUUGGACCUUCCUAAGAUUUCUAUCAUAUUAAAGGUUUAGGUAUUAAAUUGAUCAUGUAAGGGUUUAGAUUGUAAAUUGGUUAAUGAGGGUUCAUAUUUUAAAUGUUGUAAUUAUGGAUUUAUGUAAUAAUUUUAUAGAAACCCAGUUAUCAAAAAUAUGUCAAAACAUAUUGAGAGUGACAUCCAUUACAUUAGAGAAUUAAUUACAAAUAGUUUAAUAGUAGGAAAAUCUCCAUCCCUGUUCCGGACUGAAAUCCCCG